Molecule: transfer RNA, 75 nt
Filed under: Candidatus Endolissoclinum faulkneri L2
Lineage: Bacteria; Pseudomonadati; Pseudomonadota; Alphaproteobacteria; Rhodospirillales; Rhodospirillaceae
Description: tRNA-Val (CAC) (tRNA-Val-CAC-1-1)
Rfam family: tRNA
About the family: Transfer RNA (tRNA) molecules are approximately 80 nucleotides in length. Their secondary structure includes four short double-helical elements and three loops (D, anti-codon, and T loops).
Source: RNAcentral
GGGUGCGUAGCUCAGUGGUAGAGCGUUGUCUUCACAUGGCAGGGGUCGCUGGUUCAAUUCCAGCCGCGCCCACCA